CUCCAAAUUAAUGCCAUUCUUGACAAUUGACUUGGCUGCAAUCUAAUUGGUUGGUCAAAUCUGCCAAAGAUUGUGUUUCUUGUGGAUGGUGGAGAUUUAUCUUGGUGGAUCAAUGGCUGGGAUUUAACUUGGAAAUUAAUAUGACUUUUGGAGAGAGAAAAAGGACAGCAGACUUUUUCAUUUUCUUUGGCUGAGUUACAGUUUUUUUCCCUUUUCCUCUCUCUGGCGAUUUUCUUCUCCUCUUUCUGGUUUCACUUUGAUAUACACUUCUCAGUUAAAUCCUGGUUUUAGAUUAGUCCUUGUAAUAUCAUGAUGCUACAGUAACUCGAGGCGUGAUUCUGAGCCUCUGCUAUUUUCGGUUUUGUUUACUGUUGGCUAGGGCUAAGUGUUGUGAAAAGGAUUUAUGUUUGGUUUCGUAGAUCUGUUGAUCGAUGAUCGAAACUUGUGUAUUCUGAGUGGUUUGAUGUAACUUUGGUUCUCUUGGACGGCGAUUUGCAUAGUGGAACGGGUUCAGUUCUUGAGCCCCCCAGAUUAGGCCCCGUUUGGCCGAACUGGGUCACCAACUCUGAUGUUCUAUCGGUUUUUCGAUUUUAUUUUGAGCACUUAAUUUACAGUGUUAGAUUAUAGGUUUUUUAAUCAUCAGCUUGUAUCCCAACAAACUGGUAUCAGAGCCAAGGGCUUCUGGACGUGCUUCUUUACUGAAUUUACUCUAGGUCGAAAAAAAAAAUUUUUUUUUUUGGGGAUUUCGAAUUUUUUUAAUCUGCCAUUAAUUUUUUUUAAAGAAACUGUUGAAAUUGUGUUUGGUACUAAUAAUCUGGUUUUGUGAUUCUUUGCAGUUGACUAACGGUGGACUUCUCACCUCUUGGCCACUGGUGAUUACGUUCUUGGUCUUAGGGCCAAUCCCUUUUUUUUACUGUUUUUCACAAACAGUGGUUNGGUGAGAAAUUUCCAUAAAUCCUUAUAAUUGUUGAACACUGGCGCAUGAUUUUUGAUAUAAGUAUCUAAAUGAUUGCCUUCUUGUAUGGAAAUUAUAUAUGACUUGCAUGAAUGUAUGUCUGCUUGAUGAUAUUUUAUGUUUCAAAAUUGUUUAAGACUGCAGCUUGCAAUUCUUGAUACAUAAUUACUGUCAUUGUGAUCAUUCAUUGACAUUAAUAUAAUUCUUGAUCAAAAAUCAUACUAAUCUGCCUCAAUUAUUGCAUUUUGUUAAGUGCUUUAAAUUGGAAAUUUUUUUAAAACCUUUUCUGUUAAUAGUUUGAUCUGUACAUAAGAUCACACUAUGUCCAUGAGUGCUGCCCACCCUUUUACAGAAUCUGUAAUGGGUUCGAAGGUCGAAUUGAGUCAAUUCGAUGGAAAGGGGGACUACUCUAUAUGGAAACAGAAAAUGAGGUCCAUUUUGGUCCAGCAGAGGGUUGCAAAGGCCCUUGAUGAUCCAGAUAAAUUUCCUGAUGAACUUUAAGCAAAACCAAAUGAAAUUGAAGAGAUGAACGAAAUUGCAUAUAGUUCAAUAAUUUUACAUUUAUCUGAUAACAUCGUUAGACAAGUUGAUGAGUCUAAGACUGCUAGAGAUUUAUGGACUGCUCUUGAUAAUAUGUUUCUUACUAAAACAUUACCAAAUAAAAUCUACCUUUUGGAAAAACUAUUUAGUUUCAAAAUGGACCCAGGAAAGGACUUAGAACAAAACCUAAGUGACUUUAGUAUUAUUGUGAAGAGUUUGGCACAAAAUGAUAAAAAUUUUGAUGAAGAAGAUCUUGCUGUGAUUUUACUGAAUGCAUUGCCUGAAUCACAUAAAGAUAUUAGGAAUGCUAUUAAGUACUCUAGGGAUAAGUUGACCCAAACUAUAGUGAUAGAUGCCUUAAGAGCUAGAGAACUAGAGGUAAGGAAAGAGUAUAGGUCUAACCCUAGAGACGAGAGUAUGUUCGUUAGGGGAAGACCAGAGAAGAGGGAAAUUGGAUUUCAACGUAAAAAAUCAAGAGGGAGAUCAAAAUCUCGAGACAAGAGUGAUAAAAAAUGUUACCAUUGUGGUAAGAUAGGUCACUUUAAAAGGGAUUGUUUUGACUUGAAAAAGAAACAAAAGGACCAAAACAAUGGGGAAUUAAAUAAUGCAUCUGUGGGACCUGAACUUGAUAGCUUGCAUGUAAUGACUGUAACUAGUGAUGAAACCAAUAAAGACUGGAUACUAGACUCAGGGUGUACCUUUCACAUGAGUCCCAUAAAAUCAUGGUUCUAUAACUAUAAGGAUAUAGAACCUAGGAAGGUUUAUAUGGGAGACAACAACUCUCAGGCUGUUGUUGAGAUUGGUGAUAUUGCUAUCAAAAUGCAUGAUGGUAUUAUCAGGACAUUAAGAAAUGUGAGAUAUGUACCCAACCUUAAAAGAAACCUAAUUUCAUUAGGGGUUCUUGAGGAUGAAGGUUAUGUUUUUAAAUCUGAUAAUAAGGUCCUAAAAAUUAUUAAAGGGUCAUUAAUUGUCAUGAAAGGACCUAGGAGAAAUGGGUUGUACUACCUUGAGGGUCAUACCAUGUCUGCACCUGACCCUAGUCUGCUGAAUGUAACAGAGAGUAAAUCUGAGUUGUGGCACAAUAGAAUGGGCCAUAUUGGUAAUAAAGGUUUAAAGUACCUAAGUAACCAAAAAUUACUUGGUAAGGAUGAUAUUGAACCUUUGAAUUUCUGUGAGACUUGUGUGUUGGGUAAGUCUCAUAGGGUAAGCUUUGAAACAAGUUCCUAUAGUACUAAUAGACCAUUAGACUAUGUGCAUGCAGACCUUUGGGGACCUGAAAAACAUUCUACAUUUGGGGGAAAUAAGUAUUUUUUGUCAAUAGUGGAUGAUUAUUCCAGAAAAGUUUGGAUCUACCCCUUGAAGGACAAAUCUGAAACUUUUCAGAAAUUUAAAUAUUGGCUUAAGAUAGUUGAGAAUCAAUUAGACAAGAAGUUAAAAACUUUAAGAACUGAUAAUGGUCUUGAGUUUUGUAACUUUGUUUUUGACAACUAUUGUAAGCAGAAGGGAAUAAUGAGGCAUAGAACAGUCAGGUUAACACCCCCAACAAAAUGGGGUAGCGGAGAGAAUGAAUAGGACUCUCAUGAAUUAGGUCAGGUGUAUGCUUAUUAGCUCAGGUUUAGCUAAAGGUUUCUGGGCAGAAGCAGUUAGUACAGCUGCAUACUUGAUUAAUAGGUCUCCAUCAAGUUCUGUGAAUUUUAAAACACCACAGGAACUUUGGACAGGAAGACCACCAAGUCUAACACACAUAAGGGUAUUUGGAUGUGCAGCUUAUGCACAUCAGUCUGAGGGAAAAUUAGAGCUAAGAGCUACCAAAUGUGUGAUGUUAGGCUAUCCUGAAGGUGUUAAAGGGUACAAGUUAUGGGUUUUGGGUAAACCAGGCAUAAAAAUCAUUAAUAGUAGAGAUGUAGUUUUCAAUGAAUCUGAAAUGCCAUGCCUAAAACAGAAAAAUGAUAAACCAACAGAACCUGGAAAUGAAAACAGUGCUAAGACUGAGGUGAAAUUAACUAGAUUUAAUUCACUCCAACCUGAAGAAGGUGAACUUGAAAUUUCCUUAACACAACAGGAACCUAAACCUAUUGAAUUAAAUGAACCUCAAGCUGAAAAUGAAAUUGAAAUUACUGAUCCCUCAAGUGAAAUUACUUCAAUCCAAGAUUACCAACUUACAAGGGAUAGAGAAAGAAGGGAAAGAAGACCUAACCCAAGAUAUGAGUCUCAGAACUUAACUGAUUUUGCCUUGGUGUCUGGUGAAACUAUUGAACAAACUCAACCUGCUUCUUUUGAAGAAGCUAUGAGUGGUCCAAAAUCAGUUUUGUGGAAAAAGGCAAUGGAAGAAGAGAUGCAAUCCCUAAUGGAAAAUAAAACAUGGAAGUUGGUUAAUAAGCCUAAGGAUCAUAGGAUAGUGCAAUGUAAAUGGAUUUACAAACUCAAAGAAGGGAAUAAUCCUAAUGAUCCUCCUAGGUAUAAAGCCAGAUUAGUGGCUAAGGGGUUUACACAAAAGGAGGGGGUUGACUACAAUGAGAUAUUCUCCCCCGUGAUCAAAUAUACAACAAUUAGACUGAUAUUUGCCCUAGUUGUUCAGCACAAUUGGGAACUAGAACAACUUGAUGUUAAAACUGCCUUCCUACAUGGAGAAUUGGAAGAGAAUAUAUAUAUGUAUUAGCCUCAAGGCUUUGAGGUGAAGGGCAAAGCUAAUUGUGUGUGUAAACUAGAAAAAUCCUUGUAUGGGCUCAAACAAAGCCCAAGACAAUGGUACAAACGUUUUGACUCUUAUGUACUGAAAAUAGGUUUUAAAAGAAGUUAUUAUGAUGCUUGUUUGUACUAUAAUAAUUCUAAGAGGGGACAUGAGGUGUACUUACUGUUGUAUGUGGAUGACAUGCUACUAAGUGGCUCAAGUAAAUCUGAAAUCACUACAAUCAAAAAUCUUUUAAAAUCAGAGUUUGACAUGAAAGAUUUGGGGAGUGCUAAGAAGAUUCUAGGGAUGAUUAUAAGGAGAGAUAGGCUUAAAAAUAAAUUGGUUGUUUCACAGGAAGCCUAUCUAAAUAAAGUUGUAACCAAGUUUGGAAUGAAGGAAUCCAAGUCAACUAGUGUUCCUUUAGCAGCCCACAUGAACCUUUCUAGUGCCCAUUCUCCUAAGGCUGAGGAAGAACGGAGAGAGAUGGAGAACAUACCCUAUGCUAAUGCCAUAGGUUCCAUUAUAUUCUCUAUGAUAACUACAAGACCUGACUUGGCUUAUGCAAUUAGUUUUCUAAGUAGAUUUAUGUCCAAUCCUGGUAAACCACAUUGGGCAGGUUUAAAAUGGUUGUUAAGAUACAUAGUUGGUACUUUAAAUCUAGGCCUUGUGUAUAAGAAAAGGACUGAAAAACUGACCUUAAAAGGGUAUGUGGAUUCGGACUUCGAUGGUGACAAAGAUAACAGAAAAUCAACCACAGCCUACUUUUUUAUACUAGGAGACAAUUGCAUAACAUGGAAGUCUCAACUACAAUCUAUAGUAACAUUAUCCAGCACCGAAGCUGAAUAUGUUGCCAUUACUGAAGCUGUAAAAGAAUGUUUAUGGUUAAAAGGAAUGUUGAAUGAAUUGAACUUCUUGUAUGAUACUCCCACCAUUUUCACAGACAGUCAAAGUGCACUAUUACUAAGUAAGAACCCUGUCUAUCAUGAAAGGUCAAAACAUAUCGAGGUGAAGUAUCAUUUUAUUAGAGAUAAAAUCUCUACAGGUGAAGUUAAUUUGGUUAAAAUACAUACCGAUAGAAAUCCCUCGGGUAUGGGAACAAAAGUUUUAUCUGUUAGUAAGUUUAAGUCCUGUUUAACUAUACUUCAUAUUGACACAGGCUAAUUUCUUUUGCAGGUAUGGGCAAUGAUGAUGAACUGAUUGUUCCUUGUGCAAAUUACGCAACCAGAGAGCCAAGUGUUAUUGAGAACCAAGGUGAAGAAAUGAAAGUGUGUUUCUCAAAACAUUUCCAAAUUAAUGCCAUUCUUGACAAUUGACUUAGCUGCAAAUGAGUUAAAGAAGUCCUUACGUGGCAGUCUCUAAUUGGUUGGUCAAAUGUGCCAAAGAUUAUGUUUCUUGUGGAUGGUGGAGAUUUAUCUUGGUGGAUGAAUGGCUGGGAUUUAACUUGGAAAUUAAUAUGACUUUUGGAGAGAGAAAAAGGACGGGAGAUUUUUUCUCUCUUUGGCUGAGUUACAGAAUUUUUUCCCUUCUCUCUCUCUGGCGAUUUCUUCUCCUCUUUCUGGUUUUACUUUGUUAUACACUUCUCAAUUAAAUCCUGGUUUUAGAUUAGCCCUUGUAAUAUCAUGAUGCUACAGUAACUCGAGGCGUGAUUUUGAGCCUCUGCUAUUUUUCGGUUUAGUUUACUGUUGGCUAGGGCUAAGUGUUGUGAAAAGGAUUUAUGUUUGGUUUCGUAGAUCCUUUGAUCAAAACUUGUGUAUUCUGAGUGGUUUGAUGUAACUUUGGUUCUCUUGGACGGUGAUAAGUGUGUUUUUGCACACUUAUUUGGAUCACAAACAAGUCAUUAACGCAAACAAAAUGAUGAAUUUGAAGCUUAAUUUGGUCAUAAAUGUGAAUUGUAGGAAAAUCGAGGAACAUGAUGAAAUCCUGGAGAAAAACAUGAAAAAGGACCAAAAUGAAGCAAAGCAAAAGUUCAGGGACCAAUAUGCAAAUAUUCAAAAAGUUGACCCGAUGAGCAAAUCAAAAAAUCAACCAAGCCCAAAGCCAAUUAAGAGUGAAUUGAGGUGAUGAAAUGGAAAAAUGAAGACAACCGGGCAAGAAAGGAAAGAAUUUAAAGUUCAGGGACUAAAUUGACACAAGAAGAAAGAAAGUCCUACCAUAACCUCGUGCGGCCGCACGAGGUGAUACCGAAAAUCAGAGGGCCAAAUUUUUAUAACCAUGCGGCCGCAAGGGUUAUAACCAUGCGGCCGCAUGGUUCACUUUCGCAGAAAAAAUUUUGUUUCCUUAUCCGGCCCCGAAUCUUUUUGGUAAUGAUUUUUUUCAUUCUAUAUAUACCCUAAAACACGUCCAGAAUAAGGGUACACGGUUUUGGGAGCAAAGAGGCACACAAUAACAUCAAGAUCCAAGAAUUAAUGCAAGAAGAAGGAGGAUUUCAUCAAGAUUGAAGAUUUCAAACAUCAAUUAUAAUAGGGUGAUGUCUUCUCCUUUAUUCAAUUUUUGUAAUUUUCUUCAAAAUAUGAUAGGCUAAUUUUUUAUUUCAUUGGGAGUCGAUGAACCUUUGAUUUUCUUAUAAAUUCCUAUAUUUCAUGAGUUCAAUAUAAAUUGUCUUUGGAAUAAAUUGUUUGAUUUAUAUUGUUUUGAUUGAAUCCAUGAUUUAUUGGCCAUUUAUUAUGUGAUUGUGAUGGUUUAUUCUUUACAUUCGAAAGAAGUAGAAUAGACUCGAUAUAUAUAAAUUGACAUAGGGUCCAAUAGGGGAUAGAAAUAUACCCCUAUGCUUUAUGCAGUUCGGUAAUUGUUCAUAGAAUUUCAUGCGUUUUUGUAUGUUACAUCAUCCAUAGAAAUAUAGGCUGAUGAUAUGCAGAAAUAGAUCUAAUAUAUAUCGAGAGAGUAUAUUAGAUAGGCGUAGGAACAUUGAAUUGACAAUUUUCCAUUGAUUAAUUGGAUUUGUGAAAUUAGGGUUUAUAGAAAUCAAAUGGGGAUUUGAUAUCCCAAUGAUUUUAUUUCAACUUAUUUCUACAAUUUAAUUUACAACAUUGCAUAUUUACAAUUUAAUUCGUAGUUUGAUUUAUCAAUUUAGUGAAAUUUUGAAAGUAGGGUUCUUGAUUUUGAAAUUCGGGUUUUCAAAUUUGGGGAUUUUCCCCAAAAUUAGGGCUUUUGCAAAAUUAAUCACCUUUCUACUCAAUUGGUAUCGGUUAAGGUCACAAUAGUUAAAUUAGAGUUAAUUCAAUCCUCGUGGGAAAGAUAUUCAGACUCAUAGUCCAUUUUACUACUUUUCACGAUCCGUACACUUGCGGUAGUUUUAAAAUCGAAACAAAUAAAUACGUGAACAGACGACGAUUUGCAUAGUGGAACGGGUUCAGUUCCUGAGCCCCCCAGAUUAGGCCCCGUUUGGCCGAACUGGGUCACCAACUCUGAUGUUCUAUCUGUUUUUCGAUUUUAUUAUGAGCACUUAAUUUUACAGUGUUAGAUUAUAGGUUUUAAUCAUCAGCCUGUAUCCCA
RNAcentral lists this long non-coding RNA (7658 nucleotides) under Olea europaea subsp. europaea. The record is from RNAcentral. Lineage: Eukaryota; Viridiplantae; Streptophyta; Magnoliopsida; Lamiales; Oleaceae.